AGUCAUAAUUACCCAGGACAAACCCACAACUGUCCCUCCCGAAGGAGCAGAAGUAGCUGGUACUUCCUCAGGGCUUGGCGUACGCAUUGACAUAGGCAUUGGCUCCGGUGUUGGUAUUGUAGUUCUUGUUGCAGUUGCUGCAAUUAUACCUUUGGCCAUUUUGAAGAAUAAUAGGAUGAAGGUCGGUACUAGAUAAUGGCUUACAAAUUAACAGACAUAAUAUUGGAAGAAAAGAAUGGAAAAGUUAGGAAAUAAGCUUCAUGCAUUUGCACUGAAUUUCUGUAGUGAAAAUAGAACGCUCUCAGGCAACCAGAGUUCAUAGAUUCACAGAUACGAAGGUCAGAAGGGACCAUUAUGAUCAUCUAGUCUGACCUCCUGCGCAACUCAGGCCACAGAAUCUCACCCACCCACUCCUGCGAUAAACCUCUCACCUAUGUCUGAGCUAUUGAAGUCCUCAAAUUGUGGUUUAAAGACUUCAAGGAGCAGAGAAUCCUCCAGCAAGUGACCCAUGCCCCAUGCUAUAGAGGAAGGCAAAAAACCUCUUCCAAUCUGCCCUGGAGGAAAAUUCCUUCCCAACCCCAAAUAUGGCGAUCAGCUAAACCCUGAGCAUAUGGGCAAGAUUCACCAGCCAGAUACUACAGAAAAUUCUUUCCUGGGUAACUCUGAUCCCAUGCCAUCUAACAUCCCAUCACAGGCCAUUGGGCCUAUUUACCAUGAAUAUUUAAAGAUCAAUGAAUUACCAAAAUCAUGUUAUCCCAUCAUACCAUCUCCUCCACUAACUUAUUGAGUUUAAUCUUAAAGCCAGAUAGAUCUUUUGCCCCCACUGCUUUCCUUGGAAGGCUAUUCCAAAAUUUCACUCCUCUGAUGGUUAGAAACCUUUGUCUAAUUUCAAGUCUAAACUUCCCAAUGACCAGUUUAUCUAUUUGUUCUUGUGUCCACAUUGGUAAUGAGCUUAAAUAAUUCCUCUCCCUCUCCAGUAUUUAUCCCUCUGAUAUAUUUGUAGAGAGCAAUCAUAUCUGCCCUCAGCCUUCUUUUAAUUAGGCUAAACAAGCCAAGCUUCUUGAGUCUCCUUUCAUAAGACAAGUUUUCCAUUCCAUUCCUCGGAUCAUCCUAGUAGCCCUUCUCUGUACCUGUUCCAGUUUGAAUUCAUCCUUCUUAAACAUGGGAGACCAGAACUGCACACAGUAUUCCAGGUGAGGUCUCACCCGUGCCUUGUAUAACGGUACUAAAACCUCCUUAUCUCUACUGGAAAUACCUCUCCUGAUGCAUCCCAAGACCGCAUUAGCUUUUUUUACAGCCAUAUCACAUUGGCGGUUCAUAGUCAUCCUAUGAUCAACCAAUACUCCAAGGUCCUUCUCCUCCUCCGUUACUUCUAAUUGAUGCAUCCCCAGCUUAUAACUAAAAUUCUUGUUAUUAAUCCCUAAAUGCAUAACCUUACACUUCUCACUAUUAAAUUUCAUCCUAUUACUAUUACUCCAGUUUACAAGGUCAUCCAGAUCCUCCCUUUUACUACACCUUUUCUCCUUUGAACUGGACUUGUAAUCGAAACCCACUGCAUUUGAAAAAAGAAAAAGGGAAGUAGAUCAUCCCUUUGCCUUUAAAAACUGGUUUCUGAAGCAAGCAAAGGCUGUUGGCAGCAUUACUUAAUUACUUAACAUUACUUGCUGUUCUGUACGCGCAGCUGGCUCCUUAUUCUGCCUCUCCAUAGUGCUAAAUGUUUCACCUGUUAACAUGUUAGCCAUCUGAGUGUGGCAUAGUUUGGAUUGUGGGUUUUAGCUGCAGGUGGCAAGAGAGCCUGUUUAGAUGCCUGCUUACAGGCUUCCAUCGUGAAGUGUGUAAUAUUAGUCUUUAAACCCAAAUGUAAAGAUGCCAGACUCUAAAUGGAAUUCUGUAGAUUCUUGAUGUGACCUUUCUUCAGAUUCAUCUACAGAUUUUUGUUGUAGUGAGAAUCUCUUCAGAUAAAUCCACCUUUUGUUCCCAGCUCUAUAACUUCUGUUUCUUUUUACAAAUUUAUGCAUGUCUCCCCUAAGAGAAAAGAGUGAAGUGUGUGAAUUUACAUGGGGUUCCAGAGAUGUUCAGAAGCUUAUCACUGAGGUUUUUUUAAAUAAAAUUUACUGAAUAUAAGGCAUCCUGUUUCUUUCCCUACAAUCAACUAGCACUUUAUAGGAAGUAAGCAAUAAGAUCAAAAGUGUACUCCAUAGCAAGUUCUCCGGUGGUUUAGUGACUAAAUUAAUUUUAUGUUUUAGUCAUCAAAAAAUGUCUUUGGAGGUCUGAAAACAAGCUUUUUAAAUGCAGGAAAUGGCACUCUCUGCUGGUAAGAUGGAUGUGACUGUAAUCCAAUACAUUAUUAUAAUUUAUUUUAUCAUUUAAAACAUGUUGUUUAUAUUCUUUUUUACAAUCACAACUAUGCUGAGUUUUGUUUAGCAAUAUGCACAAAUCUUUCCACAGAUGGUGAAACUGUAACCGAAGGAAUCUCUGGGAUUUAUGUCAUCUUUUUUAAUGGGUUUCAGAGUAACAGCCGUGUUAGUCUGUAUUCGCAAAAAGAAAAGGAGUACUUGUGGCACCUUAGAGACUAACCAAUUUAUUUGAGCAUGAGCUUUCUUUUUAAUCUUUUUUAAUGUAUUUUUCUUAAAUAAAAGGAAUACUGAAUGAA
This is a non-coding RNA of Caretta caretta (loggerhead turtle), 2653 nucleotides long. NCBI's taxonomy places the organism in Eukaryota, Metazoa, Chordata, Testudines, Cheloniidae. The record is from RefSeq and is a predicted model, not a curated record.